This 442-nucleotide unclassified non-coding RNA is filed under the name uncultured Cenococcum. RNAcentral describes it as "sequence contains ITS1, 5.8S rRNA gene and ITS2". The stretch from base 95 to 248 matches the Rfam family "5.8S ribosomal RNA". Lineage: Eukaryota; Fungi; Ascomycota; Dothideomycetes; Gloniales; Gloniaceae. The record is from RNAcentral.
AUUGACUCAUGUUGCCUCGGCGGGUCCUCCCGCCAGAGGAUACAUCAAAACUCCUGUUUUAACGGUGUUGUCUGAGCUACAAGCAACGAAUCAAAACUUUCAACAACGGAUCUCUUGGUUCUGGCAUCGAUGAAGAACGCAGCGAAAUGCGAUAAGUAGUGUGAAUUGCAGAAUUCAGUGAAUCAUCGAAUCUUUGAACGCACAUUGCGCCCCUUGGUAUCCCGAGGGGCAUGCCUGUUCGAGCGUCAUUUCACCACUCAAGCCUGGCUUGGUGUUGGGCGACGUCCCCCUUUAGGGACGCGCCUCGAAACGCUCGGCGGCGUGGCACCGGCUUUAAGCGUAGCAGAAUCUUUCGCUUUGAAAGUCGGGGCCCCGUCUGCCGGAAGACCUACUCACAAGGUUGACCUCGGAUCAGGUAGGGAUACCCGCUGAACUUAAGCAU